UACGGGGGGGGGCAAGCGUUGUUCGGACUUACUGGGCGUAAAGGGCUCGUAGGCGGCCAACUAAGUCAGACGUGAAAUCCCUCGGCUUAACCGGGGAACUGCAUCUGAUACUGGAUGGCUUGAGAUUGGGAGAGGGAUGCGGAAUUCCAGGUGUAGCGGUGAAAUGCGUAGAUAUCUGGAGGAACACCGGUGGCGAAGGCGGCAUCCUGGACCAACACUGACGCUGAGGAGCGAAAGCCAGGGGAGCAAACGGG
RNAcentral lists this ribosomal RNA (254 nucleotides) under uncultured bacterium. RNAcentral's name for it is "partial 16S ribosomal RNA". It matches the Rfam family "Bacterial small subunit ribosomal RNA", at positions 524 to 776 of the family's 1533-position model. The record is from RNAcentral.